Long non-coding RNA from Arachis stenosperma, 1791 nucleotides. RefSeq lists it as uncharacterized. The record is from RefSeq and is a predicted model, not a curated record. The transcript has 3 exons. NCBI's taxonomy places the organism in Eukaryota, Viridiplantae, Streptophyta, Magnoliopsida, Fabales, Fabaceae.
UAUAUAGAAUACCACAACCAUUGAGUGCUAUGGCCAAUUGAAAUCCAAUCUCCCGGAAGUUGAGCUGCAGUUUGUUCUCCUCCUAGAGGAGCAAACUGUCCAAAAUGCUUGUACCUUGAAGAUUGAUGAAGUUGUUGAUGUCUAUGUGGUUUGAUUAAGUAAAUGAAAGGGCGAAUUGAAGCAUCUUGAAUUGGUACCUGAAGGGAUGAAAGCGAUGGCGUCCGGUUCCCCUGAAUCUAAGAGGACCUUCCGGAUACCGCUCGCAUAUCUCCAUACGGUUGAAACAAUCUGCAAGAUACGCUCCUUGCUGAGCAGCUACCUAUAAUUUCUUCAAAUUUGUAAGUAACAUCAUUGGGUUUUCAGAACCUUAUAUAUUUACAGAGAAGCUCUUUUGAUUUAUAAGGGAAGCGAGUAGAAUUUACCUGAGCUGUUGGAGGGAGAUUUUUCAUCUGAGUAUCAACAUUGGAAAGUGCAGAUUUGAAGGAUUCAAUGUCAACAGUAACUGAGCUCUCUUGAGAAAACUUGAGCAAGGAAGCGACAAACCUGGCCAACUUGUUUCAUAAAUUCAAUUAUUUCUGGUCGAGGACCGACGCCGGUGGACCAAACUACCAUUCCAUGAGGUAUGGAAGCAACUUGACCGCUUACUCUGUCUUUGGCCGAGAUUUCUCUCUCACUUACUUUGAUAACCAUAGAUCCUAACUUCACAUCUAUGCCAUCCCUUUUGAACUUUGUUUCAGCAAAUUCUGUGAUUCUCUUGUCAAACCUGCAUUAAGUAAAGAAAAUAGAUGUGAUUGGAAGAAAACAAUGUAAGGAAUAGGAAAAGAAAGAAAAUGUUACAUGUUUAAGAUAUGAUCUCCGGCCUCCAGCAAAGUGAUAUUGACAUAACGUUGUAGAGAAGGAUAGAGUUUAGAAAGAUCCUCAUGAACAAAGUCAUGAAGUUCUGCAGCAAACUCUACCCCAGUUGGGCCUCCUCCAACAAUCACAAAACUCAGAAGCUUCUUCUUCUCUUCAUCAGAUAUGGAUGGAAUGCUUGCUUUCUCAAAAAGAUCAACCACCUUUUGCCGGAUUCUUAGAGCAUCAUCCACUUCCUUCACAUAUAUUCAAACACUACUACUUUAACACAUUACUCUAACUAUAAAACCUUAUGUACAUGAUUACCAUACCUUCAAGAAGUAAGCAUGUUCCUGAACUCCAGGUGUGUUGAAGGUAUUAGAACGUGCUCCCAUGGCUAUUACAAGGUAAUCAUAAUCAAGGGAAAAAUCUUCAAUCCCACCCAUCUUUUUCUCUGGAUCAGCACGGCAGUAAACUUUCUUGUUCUUCGGGUCGAUCUUAUAGCAUUCAGCUUCACUGAAUUCAAUAUUUACACCACUCUGCGUUGCAAAUUAAAGGAUGCGAUUGUUUAUCAAUUUUGACGCCCCAAUAAAACGUACCCAAAUAGAGUACCUUUCUUGAGAUGUUGCGAAUGGGUUCAACAAUGCUGCGUGCUUCGACAGUGCCACAAGUGACACUUGGCAACAAAGGGGUGAAUGCAAAAUAGUUACGAGGUGAAACAACAUGGAUAUCAUAAGAUGAACUUCUGAUGCUCUUAAGAAAACUGGUUCCUGCCCAACCAGUUCCAAGAAUCACCACUUUCUUUUUUGGGGCUUCUUUCACAUUCUCACUUUGUACCGCUUCACCAUAUGCCACUAGGCCUCCACUACUGCAAACCCCCAAAACAAAAUAAUAUAAUCAUCACAACAAAUAAGAAAUGAUCAUUAAUUGCUAGAGUUGAUCCAUUGUGGUGUUUUGAUC